UACGAAGGGGGCGAGCGUUGUUCGGAUUUACUGGGCGUAAAGGGCGCGUAGGCGGCCCUCCUAGUCGCGUGUGAAAUCCCCAGGCUUAACCUGGGAACUGCGUCUGAUACUGGAUGGCUUGAAUUCGGGAGAGGGAUGCAGAAUUCCAGGUGUAGCGGUGAAAUGCGUAGAUAUCUGGAGGAAUACCGGUGGCGAAGGCGGCAUCCUGGACCGACAUUGACGCUGAGGAGCGAAAGCUAGGGGAGCAAACGGG
RNAcentral lists this ribosomal RNA (253 nucleotides) under uncultured bacterium. RNAcentral's name for it is "partial 16S ribosomal RNA". It matches the Rfam family "Bacterial small subunit ribosomal RNA", at positions 524 to 776 of the family's 1533-position model. The record is from RNAcentral.